UAUAAGUGGUUCGAAGCAAGCCAAAAAUUGAAUAUCUCAACGCUGCUAGAUUCCGACCAACAAUGUCUGACAUCCCACCAGGCUUGGAGUUGCAGGUAGAUCUUAUUUUCUACCUGAAGGGUGAACUUAAAACGGAGGAACUCGAGAGUUUCAAGGAUGAAAUUGGAUUUUUCAAAGCCAUCCAACCCUACUACUUAGAGAAAUGCAGGACCUUUGAAAAGGUUUGGCAAGAGCUCGAACAGAGACAACAUAUUAAACUUGGUGACUAUGAAUUUAUCAUCAAGUGUCUGCAAAGGAUGGGAAAAGUAAUGCAAAUUGAAGCAGUUGCAGUAUAUGAGGACAAAAUAAACAUAAU
Long non-coding RNA from Lineus longissimus, 355 nucleotides. RefSeq lists it as uncharacterized. NCBI's taxonomy places the organism in Eukaryota, Metazoa, Nemertea, Pilidiophora, Heteronemertea, Lineidae. The transcript has 3 exons. The record is from RefSeq and is a predicted model, not a curated record.